UACAGGGGGUGCAAACGUUGCUCGGAAUCAUUGGGCGUAAAGCGCCCGUAGGCGGUUCGUUAUGUCGGAUGUGAAAGCCCUUGGCUUAACCGAGGAAGUGCAUCCGAAACUGGCGAGCUAGAGUACUAAAGAGGAUCGCGGAAUUCCCGGUGUAGAGGUGAAAUUCGUAGAUAUCGGGAGGAACACCGGUGGCGAAGGCGGCGAUCUGGGUAGAUACUGACGCUGAGGUGCGAAAGCGUGGGGAGCAAACAGG
Molecule: ribosomal RNA, 253 nt
Filed under: uncultured bacterium
Lineage: Bacteria
Description: partial 16S ribosomal RNA
Rfam family: Bacterial small subunit ribosomal RNA
Source: RNAcentral